UGCGUAGGCGGGUUUCUAAGUCAGAGGUGAAAGCCUGGAGCUCAACUCCAGAACUGCCUUUGAUACUGGAAGUCUUGAGUAUGGCAGAGGUGAGUGGAACCGCGAGUGUAGAGGUGAAAUUCGUAGAUAUUCGCAAGAACACCAGUGGCGAAGGCGGCUCACUGGGCCAUUACUGACGCUGAGGCACGAAAGCGUGGGAGCAAACA
Molecule: ribosomal RNA, 206 nt
Filed under: uncultured bacterium
Lineage: Bacteria
Description: partial 16S ribosomal RNA
Rfam family: Bacterial small subunit ribosomal RNA
Source: RNAcentral